GAUGAAGAACGCAGCGAAAUGCGAUAAGUAGUGUGAAUUGCAGAAUUCAGUGAAUCAUCGAAUCUUUGAACGCACAUUGCGCCCCUUGGUAUUCCAUGGGGCAUGCCUGUUCGAGCGUCAUUUGUACCUUCAAGCUUUGCUUGGUGUUGGGUGUUUGUCCAUUCUCUUGCAGAGGGACUCGCCUUAAAGUAAUUGGCAGCCAGUGUUUUGGUUUUGAAGCGCAGCACAAGUCGCGAUUCAAAGCUAUACGCCCGCUUCCAAAAGCCUUUUUCACUUUUGACCUCGGAUCAGGUAGGGAUACCCGCUGAACUUAAGCAUAUCAAUAAGCGGAGGA
RNAcentral lists this unclassified non-coding RNA (334 nucleotides) under soil metagenome. Its description in RNAcentral is "partial contains 5.8S ribosomal RNA, internal transcribed spacer 2, and large subunit ribosomal RNA". The stretch from base 1 to 120 matches the Rfam family "5.8S ribosomal RNA", at positions 35 to 154 of the family's 154-position model. The record is from RNAcentral.